GACGAACGCUGGCGGCGUGCCUAACACAUGCAAGUCGAACGGGGUGAUUCCUUCGGGGAUCACUUAGUGGCGAACGGGUGAGUAACGCGUGAGAAACCUGCCUUUCAGUGGGGGACAACAGUUGGAAACGACUGCUAAUACCGCAUAAUGUUAUUUGGGGGCAUCCUUGAAUAACCAAAGCUUUAUGUGCUGAAAGAUGGUCUCGCGUCUGAUUAGCUAGUUGGUGAGGUAACGGCUCACCAAGGCGACGAUCAGUAGCCGGUCUGAGAGGAUGAACGGCCACAUUGGGACUGAGAUACGGCCCAGACUCCUACGGGAGGCAGCAGUGGGGAAUAUUGGGGCAAUGGGGGAAACCCUGACCCAGCAACGCCGCGUGAAGGAAGAAGGCCUUCGGGUUGGUAAACUUCUUUUACCUAGGGACGAAGAACGUGACGGUACCUGGAGAAAAGACAACGGCUAACUACGUG
This 467-nucleotide ribosomal RNA is filed under the name uncultured bacterium. RNAcentral's name for it is "bacterial SSU rRNA". It matches the Rfam family "Bacterial small subunit ribosomal RNA", at positions 28 to 507 of the family's 1533-position model. The record is from RNAcentral.